This 859-nucleotide ribosomal RNA is filed under the name uncultured bacterium. Its description in RNAcentral is "bacterial SSU rRNA". It matches the Rfam family "Bacterial small subunit ribosomal RNA", at positions 46 to 891 of the family's 1533-position model. The record is from RNAcentral.
GCUUAACACAUGCAAGUCGAACGGAAACGAUAGAAGCUUGCUUCUAGGCGUCGAGUGGCGGACGGGUGCGUAACGCGUGGGAAUUUACCUUUUAGUGGGGGAUAGCCCGGUGAAAACCGGAUUAAUACCGCAUACUACUCUACGGAGGAAAAGGGGCCUCUCCUUGGAAGCUCUUGCUAUUAGAUGAGCCCGCGUAAGAUUAGCUAGUUGGUUGAGGUAAUGGCUCACCAAGGCAACGAUCUUUAGCUGGUUUGAGAGGAUGAUCAGCCACACUGGGACUGAGACACGGCCCAGACUCCUACGGGAGGCAGCAGUGGGGAAUAUUGGACAAUGGGCGCAAGCCUGAUCCAGCAAUACCGCGUGUGUGAAGAAGGCCUGAGGGUUGUAAAGCACUUUCAAUAGGGACUAAAUGUUCGUAGUUAAUAACUGCGGAUCUUGAAUUAACCUAUAGAAGAAGGACCGGCUAACUCCGUGCCAGCAGCCGCGGUAAUACGGAGGGUCCGAGCGUUAAUCGGAAUUACUGGGCGUAAAGCGCGCGUAGGCGGUUUAUUAAGUCGGAUGUGAAAGCCCUGGGCUCAACCUGGGAACUGCAUUCGAUACUGGUAAACUAGAGUAUAGUAGAGGUAAGUGGAAUUCCAUGUGUAGCGGUGAAAUGCGUAGAUAUGUGGAGGAACAUCAGUGGCGAAGGCGACUUACUGGACUAAUACUGACGCUGAGGUGCGAAAGCGUGGGGAGCAAACGGGAUUAGAUACCCCGGUAGUCCACGCCGUAAACGAUGUCAACUAGCCGUUGGGAGCAUUUGAGCUUUUAGUGGCGCAGCUAACGCAUUAAGUUGACCGCCUGGGGAGUACGCACGCAA